Molecule: ribosomal RNA, 444 nt
Filed under: uncultured bacterium
Lineage: Bacteria
Description: SSU rRNA
Rfam family: Bacterial small subunit ribosomal RNA
Source: RNAcentral
AGAGCGAACGCUGGCGGCAGGCUUAACACAUGCAAGUCGAGCGGGCGUAGCAAUACGUCAGCGGCAGACGGGUGAGUAACGCGUGGGAACGUACCUUUUGGUUCGGAACAACCCAGGGAAACUUGGGCUAAUACCGGAUAAGCCCUUACGGGGAAAGAUUUAUCGCCGAAAGAUCGGCCCGCGUCUGAUUAGCUAGUUGGUGAGGUAACGGCUCACCAAGGCGACGAUCGGUAGCUGGUCUGAGAGGAUGACCAGCCUCACUGGGACUGAGACACGGCCCAGACUCCUACGGGAGGCAGCAGUGGGAAUAUUGGACAAUGGGCGCAAGCCUGAUCCAGCCAUGCCGCGUGGAUGAUGAAGGCCUUAGGUUGUAAAGUCGUUUUAACGGGAAGAGUAAUGACGGUACCGUAGAAUAAGCCCGGCUAACUUCGUGCCAGCAGCCGC